CUCUCUAAAAUCCCAUUUUCGUAUCAAUACUCUCUCUCUCUCUCUCUUUCUUUCUCUCUCUACAAAUCCUCAUCUCUGUGAACUCCCACCUUGCUCGCAUCCACGGUCACACACUAAUGUUGUUGUUCCUCUUCUCCAUGUGUUCUUACUCUUCUUCCAAAUUUCUCUUGCUGGUGAAAAUUUCUGUUGCUACAUUAGCUUCCCCAAUGACUUGAUUGAAACUUACCCUCUUGCGCCUAAAAUUUUGGUUUUCCCGCGAUAUACUCCCUCGUAUUGAUUGAUAACACCCUCUUCCUCCAUCGUAGGCCCUAAUUCGUCUUCUUCUUCUUCUUCUUCUUCCGUUUCUGCAACAUUGAGGCUCAUACGACUGGGGAAACGAAAUGGUUUAGAUGAUAGUUUAGCUACAUCAUCCUCUAAUUAGUUGUGGCUCCAGAGAAACGAAAUGGUUUAGAUGAUGCUUUAGACCGACUGGGAACUCCAUUAGUGAGAAAAUUUCCUCUGCACAAUCUUCGAAUCAACCCCUUGAACGAGAGGGUCUUGGGUAUCACAAAACCAUAAGUUAUUUUCCCUCUCUCCCAUCAUCUCCCUGGGUAUCUAGGUCUGGAACUAUCUCUUGGUCCUCUGGUCCCCAGUAGCUGAAACCCCAAAUACUAGUACAUUAUUUUCCUCUCUCACUUCAAUUUCUUCUAGUUUUUGGUUAUUUGCUUCAUGACUUACAAUUAAAUCAUCACACAAGAGGAAUCCGUGGUGAAGGUGGAAGGAAUUUCAUCACUGCUCACUCAGAAGAUUGGGGUUUCACACCAGCAGAGAACGGACAGCAAGGAGCUCUUAUUGAUCUCUUGAGGCCGUCUUCAGAUGGGCAGACAUCAAUCUCAUUGGAGUCAAGGAACCCAAGUAUAUUCCUAGAGGGGAAUUUAGAGGUUGGGUAUCAGGCGUCUUGAUUUUUCAAUUGCUCGAUCUCAAUACACGGAGGUUAUCCAAGGGUAUUUUUGAGAUAUUUCAAUCACAGCUUUAAUCUAAUCAAAUUAACUAAAUUUCACUACUGAUUUGUUUGAUUGGAUUGAUGAUCUAUUGUUUAAUAAGAAUUUGAAUGUGUAGAUUUGGGAACAAAAAUAGUUUUACCUAUCAUUUUGUUUGAGGAUGAUAUAAAUAUUUAACUUGUAUAGAUUUAUCUGAUGUUAAUACUUUUGGACGAUGUAAUCAUUAAAUGUCUAGUUGGAUCUACUAAUGUGUGACAACAGGGUAAAUAUGUAUAUGAAAAAAUCAUAAUUAAUUUUUUUUUUUACUUAAAAACUUUUAGGGACAGAAUUUUGUUGUCCCUAAAUAUUCCAGACCUUGUUAGUUGGGACGGAAUAUAUCUGUCUCUAAAAGGAAGACCCUAUUCGCAACAAGAAAUUCCGUCCUAAAAAACAAAGUUCUGAAAUUUCUUACCAUGGAAAAAUUCCAUCUCAAAUAAUUUGUGCUCUUUUGCGACGGAAAUAAACUGUCGCUACAUGGUCCUGACAACACAGCAUUUACGACAAAUAUUUUUGUCACUUUAGUAAUUAUUUGUGACGGAAAAUAACCGUCUAGAAAAUUGUCCCAAUUGAUCCCUUAGGGACGAAUUUUUUUUUUUGUCGCUUAAAUUAUGCGAUGGCUGUUGUAACGACAGUUGUGCGACGGAAAAUUAUACUGUCCCUAAUAAAUAUUAGCGACAAUAUUUUCGUAUUUGUGACAGAAAAUUUCCGUCCCAAAAACCCUUUUUUCUUGUAGUGACUUUUCAUUUUUAUUCUUGAACUAUCAAUACUAAUUGUUUCAACUAAAUUUAGUACCACACUUUGACACAUGCUUGUCAUGCUAUUGAUCUCCACACCCCUACCCCCACCCCAAAUCAGAUACUAAAAUUUUCUAAAAAAUAAAAACUCCAAUACUAAAAUGAAGAAAUCCAUAGUUGAUUCAAUGACUCUACAAUUUAGUCAAGUUGUCAAUGAACCAGCCUAUAUUUGACCUAAAAGGUUGAAAAAUGAUUCAAGGUGAGUUUUAAUUUGAGCAGUUUUAAUUUUCAGGUAGAAAAACCAAUGAAGAUAAAAUUUCUAGCAUAGACUGUAGAUAAGUAAACUACUAAUAGGCCUAUUCCUGGUGAUGAGCUUAAGGAUUAACACUAUUAAUUAAUAUAAUCUUUUCUUGGUCCUUGAACACAAUGAUACUUUGAUAAGUGGUUGAUCAUGUGUCACUCUUUGAUUGGUAUCUUCUAGGUACAAAUAUGAUCUUUCCCAUCCAUUAUACUUUGAUAAGUGGUUGAUCAUGUGGAUUGUCCAUGCUAUGUGACAAAUCUUGCUAUAUAUCCAUAUGAAUCGUAUAGCACACCAUGUACUGAGUAUUCAUUAUCUUUGUAUUUUCAAGCAUUAAAUUGUUCAAAAAUUUGAGUUUUCAAACCUUGUAGUUCACAAUUUUGGAAACCAAUUGAGCUACCAUGUUCUUUGAUACUAAAAAAAAAAAAAAAAUGCUUGUAACAUCUUUUUUUUCUUGUUGAACUCAGUGACCUAGUAAUCGGUAUUAGAUACAAGCCGAUACAAAUCUGAUACUAAUCUAGAUAGGCCUGUAUAGGACAAAUUUGCCACUGGUUUCUAUUAAAAUUCUUGAUUUUUUUACCAUUUUAAGGUUAGUAUCGAUCCAUCAAUACAGACUGAUACAAAAUCUUCCAAGAAUCGAUAUCAGCCAUAGCAUUGUAUCGUGGUUGAAAUGUAAUUUUUAUUGAAAUAGCAUCAAACACUUUACGAAGGUGGUGCUAAUUCCAAAUUUUUAUUCUGUUAAAAAUAUUUGUUUUUGCUAGUUUACCUAUUGUACUAUCUUUGCAAAUAGCUAUUUGUAGAUUUAUUGGACAUUCGACAAACUACAAUAUUACUAUUUUUCCAUUUCUCUAAAACUUUUUCACUUUUCUUAAUUUUAUUUUAUAUUUUGAAAUUGCAUGUUGGCAUAAAAAUAAUGUUACAUGUGCUGAAUAAUUACUAUUUGGUACAUGUGGCAGAUCUCAUCUAGCCGUGUGCUACUUUGUUAUUGUAUUUGUCUUUUGCCUCCCUUAACUUUUACUUUUUGUCUUCUUUGUCCUUGAUUGGAUUAUGUUGUCGACCUCAUUAAGUUGGGAUAAGGCUUUGUUAUUGUUGUUGUAGUACCAAAUAAUUACCAUUAUUGUUCUUUUUUUUUUGUUCAUACUACCAUUUCUUAAUAGGUUCAAUUUCUAUUACAUACAUUUUUUUCCUCAAUGGAUGCAAGAAAAUAGUAUUUAGUAAUGCAAAGGAUAUGACAAUCCGCUACAAGGAUGAGACCUCAAGGGCAAGUAAAUUACAUUUCACUUGUUUAUUUGAUAUCAAUUCAUCCUUGAAUGCCUUCUCUUACUGUUAGCUACUGGUAUCUCAUGCACGUGGAUUCUGGGAUUU
RNA transcript from Macadamia integrifolia, 3416 nucleotides. It is a transcript of the gene named putative F-box protein At5g55150, with no coding region annotated. The record is from RefSeq and is a predicted model, not a curated record. The transcript has 3 exons. Lineage: Eukaryota; Viridiplantae; Streptophyta; Magnoliopsida; Proteales; Proteaceae.